UACGGGGGGAGCAAGCGUUGUUCGGAUUUACUGGGCGUAAAGGGCGCGUAGGCGGCCACCGCAAGUCAAUUGUGAAAUCUCCGGGCUUAACUCGGAAAGGUCAACUGAUACUGCGGGGCUAGAGUGCGGAAGGGGCAACUGGAAUUCUCGGUGUAGCGGUGAAAUGCGUAGAUAUCGAGAGGAACACCUGCGGCGAAGGCGGGUCUCUGGGCAGUAACUGACGCUGAGGAGCGAAAGCGUGGGGAGCGAACAGG
This 254-nucleotide ribosomal RNA is filed under the name uncultured bacterium. RNAcentral describes it as "partial 16S ribosomal RNA". It matches the Rfam family "Bacterial small subunit ribosomal RNA", at positions 524 to 776 of the family's 1533-position model. The record is from RNAcentral.